Mustela erminea (ermine) is the source of this 674-nucleotide long non-coding RNA. RefSeq lists it as uncharacterized. The transcript is spliced from 3 exons. The record is from RefSeq and is a predicted model, not a curated record. NCBI's taxonomy places the organism in Eukaryota, Metazoa, Chordata, Mammalia, Carnivora, Mustelidae.
UGCUUUGUGAGUGCAGUGAAGUGUGUGAACUGGGCAAUUCACAGACCUGUACCCCUGGGGAUAAAAAUAUAUUAUAUGUUUCUAAAAAAUAAAAAAUUUAAAAAAAAAACAAAACUGAAAAAAAAAUAUUUAAGCAAAAAAAAAAAAAAAGAAUAAUGUUUAAACGCAUUAAAAUGAGCCAAUGGAAUAGACUAGUACGGUGUCUUUCGGAAGGGGCAUAAAUAGGUCAGAUUACAUCUCACGUUUGAAUUUCUUUUAUUUAUCAAUUAAAAAGAUAAGAUUUGGGGGGAAAUAUUUCUUUCUCUUUGAAAAGCCGAUUGAUACUCCUCUGAACUGGCCUAAUGAAACUCAGUCCUGUCUGGACCCCUUCCUCGUUCCCUCUUCUAGCCUUCCCAGUCUGUCCUGGGAUCGUGCGUCGGCCCCCUUCCGCCUUGUUUUCUAAUUCCUCAUGCUGUGCAGCAGUUUUUCUGUUUUUGUUUUUUUCUUCUGACAACAUCAAGUAGUCUCUCUCAGGGGCCAAUGCAAGAAGUUCUGUGCAUCGUUCAGUAGAACAAUAAGCAGGGAGUGACCCUGGGUUCUUGGAGGAGUCAUCAUUUUCUGUAACACUCUAGAGUAAAUGACUAUUAAAAAUAGAUAAACAGAGUGCCUGGUGGCUCAGUGGGUUAAGCCUCUGC